AGACCCGAAACCCGGUGAUCUAGCCAUGGGCAGGUUGAAGGUUGGGUAACACUAACUGGAGGACCGAACCGACUAAUGUUGAAAAAUUAGCGGAUGACCUGUGGCUGGGGGUGAAAGGCCAAUCAAACCGGGAGAUAGCUGGUUCUCCCCGAAAGCUAUUUAGGUAGCGCCUCGUGAAUUCAUCUCCGGGGGUAGAGCACUGUUUCGGCUAGGGGGCCAUCCCGGCUUACCAACCCGAUGCAAACUGCGAAUACCGGAGAAUGUUAUCACGGGAGACACACGGCGGGUGCUAACGUCCGUCGUGAAGAGGGAAACAACCCAGACCGCCAGCUAAGGUCCCAAAGUCAUGGUUAAGUGGGAAACGAUGUGGGAAGGCCCAGACAGCCAGGAUGUUGGCUUAGAAGCAGCCAUCAUUUAAAGAAAGCGUAAUAGCUCACUGGUCGAGUCGGCCUGCGCGGAAGAUGUAACGGGGCUAAACCAUGCACCGAAGCUGCGGCAGCGAACGUAUCACCCAAGACAACUUUACGGAGUUGACGAUUGACGGAGCGAAGCGACGUCAAAGCGUUCAUUAAAGUCGAGUUGGCUUAGGGAUACGUUCGUUGGGUAGGGGAGCGUUCUGUAAGCCUGUGAAGGUGUGUCGUGAGGCAUGCUGGAGGUAUCAGAAGUGCGAAUGCUGACAUAAGUAACGAUAAAGCGGGUGAAAAGCCCGCUCGCCGGAAGACCAAGGGUUCCUGUCCAACGUUAAUCGGGGCAGGGUGAGUCGACCCCUAAGGCGAGGCCGAAAGGCGUAGUCGAUGGGAAACGGGUUAAUAUUCCCGUACUUGGUGUUACUGCGAAGGGGGGACGGAGAAGGCUAUGUUGGCCGGGCGACGGUUGUCCCGGUUUAAGCGUGUAGGUGUGUGUUCCAGGUAAAUCCGGUUCACUUUAACACUGAGGCGUGAUGACGAGGCACUACGGUGCUGAAGCAACAAAUGCCCUGCUUCCAGGAAAAGCCUCUAAGCAUCAGGUAACAU
This 1013-nucleotide ribosomal RNA is filed under the name Salmonella enterica subsp. enterica. Its description in RNAcentral is "partial 23S ribosomal RNA". It matches the Rfam family "Bacterial large subunit ribosomal RNA", at positions 711 to 1637 of the family's 2925-position model. RNAcentral also lists the same sequence under 1 other name. The record is from RNAcentral. Lineage: Bacteria; Pseudomonadati; Pseudomonadota; Gammaproteobacteria; Enterobacterales; Enterobacteriaceae.